RNAcentral lists this small RNA (188 nucleotides) under Paenibacillus rhizosphaerae. RNAcentral's name for it is "c-di-AMP sequence". It matches the Rfam family "c-di-AMP riboswitch aptamer (ydaO/yuaA leader)". Rfam says of the family: This family represents a conserved RNA structure found upstream of the ydaO and yuaA genes in Bacillus subtilis and related genes in other bacteria. The ydaO/yuaA element is thought to act as a genetic "off" switch for the ydaO and yuaA genes in its native state. Lineage: Bacteria; Bacillati; Bacillota; Bacilli; Caryophanales; Paenibacillaceae. The record is from Rfam by way of RNAcentral.
ACUUGAUAAACGCUGAAUUUUCCGAUGAAAAGCGGGGGAACCAAUCGCAGUCCUCGCCCCACGGAGCUUUAUGCUGGGGCUUGCGGCUUGCAGGGGUGAAUCGGAGGCAGGAUAAUGCCUGUUUCCGUAGGGCUACUCUCACGGCCCGAAUCCGUCAGCUAACCUCGUAAGCGUAGUUGAGAGCGGAG